This 478-nucleotide small RNA is filed under the name Pongo abelii (Sumatran orangutan). Its description in RNAcentral is "processed transcript". The record is from RNAcentral. Lineage: Eukaryota; Metazoa; Chordata; Mammalia; Primates; Hominidae.
GAAGUUGCUCUCAGAGGCAGCGUGCUGGUGUGCUCCUUGUGAAAUUCCACCAUGGCGUACCGUGGCCAGGGCCAGAAAGUGCAGAAGGUUAUGGUGCAGCCCAUCGUAUCCUACGCAGGAUGUCAGAACUAGGAGAGAUCGCGGAUUCAGGUGUGGCUCUAUGAGCAAGUGAAUAUGCGGAUAGAAGGCUGUAUCAUUGGUUUUGAUGAGUAUAUGAACCUUGUAUUAGAUGAUGCAGAAGAGAUUCAUUCUAAAACAAAGUCAAGAAAACAACUGGGUCGGAUCAUGCUAAAAGGAGAUAAUAUUACUCUGCUACAAAGUGUCUCCAACUAGAAAUGAUCAAUGAAGUGAGAAAUUGUUGAGAAGGAUACAGUUUGUUUUUAGAUGUCCUUUGUCCAAUAUGAACAUUUAUUCAUAUUGUUUUGAUUACCCUUAUGUUAUUACAAGAUGGCAAUAAAUACUGUGGGAUUGUUUGUAU